UACAGAGGGGGCAAGCGUUGUUCGGAAUUACUGGGCGUAAAGCGCGCGCAGGCGGUCCGUGCGGUGCCGCGUGAAAGACACGGGCUUCCCCCGUGUUCGGCGUGGCAAACCAGCGGACUCGAGCCUCGGAGAGGUCGGUGGAAUUCCGGGUGGAGCGGUGAAAUGCGUAGAGAUCCGGAGGAACACCAGAGGCGAAAGCGGCCGACCGGCCGAUGGCUGACGCUGAGGCGCGACGGCGUGGGGAGCAAACCGG
RNAcentral lists this ribosomal RNA (253 nucleotides) under uncultured bacterium. RNAcentral describes it as "partial 16S ribosomal RNA". It matches the Rfam family "Bacterial small subunit ribosomal RNA", at positions 524 to 776 of the family's 1533-position model. The record is from RNAcentral.